This 77-nucleotide transfer RNA is filed under the name Penicillium salamii. RNAcentral describes it as "tRNA-Gly". It matches the Rfam family "tRNA". Rfam says of the family: Transfer RNA (tRNA) molecules are approximately 80 nucleotides in length. Their secondary structure includes four short double-helical elements and three loops (D, anti-codon, and T loops). Further hydrogen bonds mediate the characteristic L-shaped molecular structure. tRNAs have two regions of fundamental functional importance: the anti-codon, which is responsible for specific mRNA codon recognition, and the 3' end, to which the tRNAs corresponding amino acid is attached (by aminoacyl-tRNA synthetases). tRNAs cope with the degeneracy of the genetic code in two manners: having more than one tRNA (with a specific anti-codon) for a particular amino acid; and 'wobble' base-pairing, i.e. permitting non-standard base-pairing at the 3rd anti-codon position. Lineage: Eukaryota; Fungi; Ascomycota; Eurotiomycetes; Eurotiales; Aspergillaceae. The record is from RNAcentral.
GGCGCGGGAAUAGCUCAGUUGGUAGAGCACGACCUUGCCAAGGUCGGGGUCGCGAGUUCGAGUCUCGUUUCCCGCUC